This 417-nucleotide ribosomal RNA is filed under the name bacterium enrichment culture clone ALO1_GLFRUDD03G7MG7. RNAcentral describes it as "bacterial SSU rRNA". It matches the Rfam family "Bacterial small subunit ribosomal RNA", at positions 9 to 429 of the family's 1533-position model. The record is from RNAcentral.
GAGUUUGAUCGUGGCUCAGAUUGAACGCUGGCGGCAUGCCUUACACAUGCAAGUCGAACGGCAGCACGGGAGCUUGCUCCUGGUGGCGAGUGGCGAACGGGUGAGUAAUGCAUCGGAACGUAUCCUGGAGUGGGGGAUAACGUAGCGAAAGUUACGCUAAUACCGCAUAUUCUGUGAGCAGGAAAGCGGGGGACCUUCGGGCCUCGCGCUCUUGGAGCGGCCGAUGUCGGAUUAGCUAGUUGGUGAGGUAAAGGCUCACCAAGGCGACGAUCCGUAGCAGGUCUGAGAGGAUGAUCUGCCACACUGGAACUGAGACACGGUCCAGACUCCUACGGGAGGCAGCAGCGGGGAAUUUUGGACAAUGGGGGCAACCCUGAUCCAGCCAUGCCGCGUGAGUGAAGAAGGCCUCGGUGUAAG